CCACGGGCGCUGCAGUAGGGAAUAUUGGACAAUGGGCGAAAGCCUGAUCCAGCAACACCGCGUGCACGAUGACGGCCUUCGGGUUGUAAAGUGCUUUUAGAGGAGAUGAGAAAGGACAGUAUCCUCUGAAUAAGCCUCGGCGAACUACGUGCCAGCAGCCGCGGUAAAACGUAGGAGGCAAGCGUUAUCCGGAUUUAUUGGGCGUAAAGCGCGUGCAGGCGGUCUAGCAAGUUGGAUGUGAAAGCUCCCGGCUCAACUGGGAGAGGUCGUUCAAUACUGUUAGACUAGAGAAUAGGAGAGGGAGGUGGAAUUCCGGGUGUAGUGGUGAAAUGCGUAGAUAUCCGGAGGAACACCAGUGGCGAAAGCGGCCUCCUGGACUAUUUCUGACGCUAAGACGCGAAAGCUAGGGUAGCAAACGGGAUUAGAUACCCGGGUAGUC
Molecule: ribosomal RNA, 439 nt
Filed under: uncultured bacterium
Lineage: Bacteria
Description: partial 16S ribosomal RNA
Rfam family: Bacterial small subunit ribosomal RNA
Source: RNAcentral